RNAcentral lists this ribosomal RNA (2185 nucleotides) under Acinetobacter baumannii. RNAcentral describes it as "partial 23S ribosomal RNA". It matches the Rfam family "Bacterial large subunit ribosomal RNA", at positions 1 to 2222 of the family's 2925-position model. Lineage: Bacteria; Pseudomonadati; Pseudomonadota; Gammaproteobacteria; Moraxellales; Moraxellaceae. The record is from RNAcentral.
AGUCAAGUAAUUAAGUGCAUGUGGUGGAUGCCUUGGCAGUCAGAGGCGAUGAAAGACGUGAUAGCCUGCGAAAAGCUCCGGGGAGGCGGCAAAUAUCCUUUGAUCCGGAGAUGUCUGAAUGGGGGAACCCACCUACUUUAAGGUAGGUAUUGCAACAUGAAUACAUAGUGUUGCAAGGCGAACGAGGGGAAGUGAAACAUCUCAGUACCCUUAGGAAAAGAAAUCAAUUGAGAUUCCCUCAGUAGCGGCGAGCGAACGGGGAUCAGCCCAUUAAGUUAUGUGUGUUUUAGUGGAACGCUCUGGGAAGUGCGAACGUAGAGGGUGAUAUUCCCGUACACGAAAGGGCACACAUAAUGAUGACGAGUAGGGCGAGGCACGUGAAACCUUGUCUGAAUAUGGGGGGACCAUCCUCCAAGGCUAAAUACUCCUGACUGACCGAUAGUGAACCAGUACCGUGAGGGAAAGGCGAAAAGAACCCCUGUGAGGGGAGUGAAAUAGAUCCUGAAACCGCAUGCAUACAAGCAGUGGGAGCACCUUCGUGGUGUGACUGCGUACCUUUUGUAUAAUGGGUCAGCGACUUAUAUUCAGUAGCGAGGUUAACCGUAUAGGGGAGCCGUAGAGAAAUCGAGUCUUAAUAGGGCGUUUAGUUGCUGGGUAUAGACCCGAAACCAGGCGAUCUAUCCAUGAGCAGGUUGAAGGUUGGGUAACACUAACUGGAGGACCGAACCCACUGUCGUUGAAAAGCCAGGGGAUGACUUGUGGAUAGGGGUGAAAGGCUAAUCAAGCCUGGUGAUAGCUGGUUCUCCCCGAAAGCUAUUUAGGUAGCGCCUCGGACGAAUACCAUAGGGGGUAGAGCACUGUUUCGGCUAGGGGGUCAUCCCGACUUACCAAACCGAUGCAAACUCCGAAUACCUAUGAGUACUAUCCGGGAGACAGACUGCGGGUGCUAACGUCCGUAGUCAAGAGGAAAACAAUCCAGACCGCCAGCUAAGGCCCCAAAAUCAUAGUUAAGUGGGAAACGAUGUGGGAAGGCAUAGACAGCUAGGAGGUUGGCUUAGAAGCAGCCACCCUUUAAAGAAAGCGUAAUAGCUCACUAGUCGAGUCGGCCUGCGCGGAAGAUGUAACGGGGCUAAAACUAUGUGCCGAAGCUGCGGAUGUAUACUUUGUAUACGUGGUAGGGGAGCGUUCUGUAAGCCGAUGAAGGUGUGUUGAGAAGCAUGCUGGAGGUAUCAGAAGUGCGAAUGCUGACGUGAGUAACGACAAAACGGGUGAAAAACCCGUUCGCCGAAAGACCAAGGGUUCCAGUCCAACGUUAAUCGGGGCUGGGUGAGUCGACCCCUAAGGCGAGGCCGAAAGGCGUAGUCGAUGGGAAAAUGGUUAAUAUUCCAUUACUUCUGUGUAAUGCGAUGAGAGGACGGAGAAGGCUAAAUCAGCCUGGCGUUGGUUGUCCAGGUGAAAGGAUGUAGGCAUGUAUCUUAGGCAAAUCCGGGGUACUCUAUGCUGAGAUCUGAUAGCAAGCUGUACUUGUACAGCGAAGUGGUUGAUGCCAUGCUUCCAGGAAAAGUCUCUAAGCUUCAGUUACACAGGAAUCGUACCCGAAACCGACACAGGUGGUCAGGUCGAGUAGACCAAGGCGCUUGAGAGAACUCUGCUGAAGGAACUAGGCAAAAUGGUACCGUAACUUCGGGAGAAGGUACGCUGUUGUUGGUGAUGGAACUCGCUUCCUGAGCUGACGACAGCCGCAGAAACCAGGCCGCUGCAACUGUUUAUUAAAAACAUAGCACUCUGCAAACACGAAAGUGGACGUAUAGGGUGUGAUGCCUGCCCGGUGCUGGAAGGUUAAUUGAUGGGGUUAGCGUAAGCGAAGCUCUUGAUCGAAGCCCCAGUAAACGGCGGCCGUAACUAUAACGGUCCUAAGGUAGCGAAAUUCCUUGUCGGGUAAGUUCCGACCUGCACGAAUGGCAUAAUGAUGGCGGCGCUGUCUCCAGCAGAGGCUCAGUGAAAUCGAAAUCGCUGUGAAGAUGCAGUGUACCCGCGGCUAGACGGAAAGACCCCGUGAACCUUUACUGCAGCUUGACACUGAACUUUGACCUUACUUGUGUAGGAUAGGUGGGAGGCUUUGAAGCUGGAACGCUAGUUCCAGUGGAGCCGUCCUUGAAAUACCACCCUGGUAAUGUUGAGGUUC